RNAcentral lists this unclassified non-coding RNA (318 nucleotides) under Hevea brasiliensis (rubber tree). Lineage: Eukaryota; Viridiplantae; Streptophyta; Magnoliopsida; Malpighiales; Euphorbiaceae. The record is from RNAcentral.
ACGCAUAAUGGGUUGAACCUGUUUGGCUAUUUUCUCAAGCAUCUUCCUCGCUUCUUCUUCUCCUGGUUUCUUCAGGGCUUUGAUUUCCCAUACUUUAUUUAAAUCCCCCAAAUUCAUCCCUUUCUUGUUUUGGAAUGGAAAAAUCAAAACCCUAAUAAACCCGGAGUAUUCAAAAGCUGCAAAAAAAUUCGUUAAUUGAAAUCCAUCGCCGUCAUUGUUGCAAGUGUUGUGAUCAGAUUCAGAAUUCUCAUUUGUUCAAUCGGAAAUAAAAGGAAAAGAAUCGGUAUCGCAAUUGGUCCACAAUUUUUUUGAUUUCGU